GGCCACAUCUGGAGGACAGAGGAACAUAAAGGUCCUUUUCUUGGGAUAGGUGCGCCAAUAAGUGAUGGCAAAGAGAAGACAGGGCUGCUCAGUUCUUACUUGUUUCUGUGAAGGAGAAUGACCUUUACCUUGGAAUGGAAGGGACAAAAGUGGCUAACAGCGAAUUGAUGUCCAAGAUCAGUAAGGAGAUACUCACGAAGCACCAGCUGCCCCUGGUGAGUUCCAGUUCCCUGCCCCCCAGUGAACUACAUUCUUGGACCCUGAAAGUCCUGGCAGCUGUGAGGGCUGAACCAACGUCAGUAAUCUCCAAAAGAUCAUGAAAAAUGGGAGAGGCACCACAAGACUGGAGGAGGGAAAAUGUGCCCUGCUUUUCAAAGAAGGAAAGUGAGCUCAACUUCGACGCUGGGCAAACCCCAGACCGGGUCAUCAAAGGGAGGUGUGGAGAACACCUGGAAAGAGGAGCAGUAGUGAGCAAGAGGCAGCAGGACCUCCCCCUGAAUAGGUCACACCAACAUGGAUCCAUGUAAAAUUGGAAAGGUUUUGCCCAAACAAAUCUCGAGCAGCUUCAGAGGAAGCUGAGGAGACAUCUAAGAAUGGAUUCCAACUAAAGGGAGGAGCAGAACUGUGAAGACAACUUGGAACUCUGAUUAAUGAAAUCAUAAACCACCAAUCCAGAGGCCUGGAGAAGAACCACGCCCCCUUCUGGCCACAAGGUGAGCGGUGAGCGGCUUGAACUCCAGAAUGAGACAAACAUUUUUGGACUUGACCAAUGAGAGAAUUGGCUCUAUUAGACUAUACCUGCUCUCCAGUGCUGUGUUCUGUUCUGGGCACCAGAGCUGAAGAGGGAAAUCGAUGAGCUGGAGAAUGGUCAGAGGACAGCAGGCAGGCUGAUGGAGGGCCUGGAGUUCCCAUCGGAUGAGGAGCAGCUGCAGAAAAUGGAGAUGUCUCCCCUGCUGAUGAAAGGCCUCCAGAGACACAGAGAUGUCUCUAAGUCUCUGGAGGGCUGUCACGUGGAGGAAAAGACUGGAUGCUCAAUCCAUUUGGCCUCAAAGGGCCAAAGAACCAGCAGCAGUGGUGGAAAGUUACCAAGAAGCAAAUUUAGGCUCAGUGUUAGGAAAAGCCUGCUAACAAUGAGAGCUGCUCCAAAGUGGAAUGGGCUAUCUGUCUCAAAAGUGGCUGUUGGAACAUCCAUCCUCUGCAUGGAAAAGUCAUCAGCUGAAGACCUGGAUUCCACUGCCUUGGCACUGCUUUUUCGUUGUGGAUAUAUCUUGAUGGAAGUGCUCCUCAUUCUCAGAACUGAUAUUAUCUUGGAUUUCUGGGGGAAAAGGUUCAUGUGUGAAUCUGAGAAUUGAAUAUUGAGUCAGAUCUCAUACCUUUACAACACUGGCUUAUUGAUAAACAUUUAACAAGUGGCUCUCCAGGAAGUUAGGGGGAAUGUGCACAGGACACACCUUGAAGUUGAAUCUGUAUUAUUCACAUUUUCUCGGUUACUUUUUAAAGUGUAGACAAUCAACAAAAUAAUAAAUCAAGCCCUGAUCUGUAGGGUUUGUGGACUUCCAAAGUAUUAAUGUUCACACUAAAAAUUUAACAACCGGCUCUCUGGGAGCUGGCUCCAGUACAUCCCUUCUUUGUUGGUUU
Phascolarctos cinereus (koala) is the source of this 1638-nucleotide non-coding RNA. The record is from RefSeq and is a predicted model, not a curated record. NCBI's taxonomy places the organism in Eukaryota, Metazoa, Chordata, Mammalia, Diprotodontia, Phascolarctidae.